CUGGCGGCGUGCCUAAUACAUGCAAGUCGAACGAAGUUUUCUUUCACCGAAUGCUUGCAUUCACCGAAAGAAGCUUAGUGGCGAACGGGUGAGUAACACGUAGGCAACCUGCCCAAAAGAGGGGGAUAACACUUGGAAACAGGUGCUAAUACCGCAUAACCAUGAACACCGCAUGAUGUUCAUGUAAAGGACGGCUUUUGCUGUCACUUUUGGAUGGGCCUGCGGCGUAUUAACUUGUUGGUGGGGUAACGGCCUACCAAGGUGAUGAUACGUAGCCGAACUGAGAGGUUGAUCGGCCACAUUGGGACUGAGACACGGCCCAAACUCCUGCGGGAGGCAGCAGUAGGGAAUCUUCCACAAUGGACGAAAGUCUGAUGGAGCAACGCCGCGUGAAUGAAGAAGGCCUUCGGGUCGUAAAAUUCUGUUGUCAGAGAAGAACGUGCGUGAGAGUAACUGUUCACGUAUUGACGGUAUCUGACCAGAAAGCCACGGCUAACUACGUGCCAGCAGCCGCGGUAAUACGUAGGUGGCGAGCGUUGUCCGGAUUUAUUGGGCGUAAAGGGAACGCAGGCGGUCUUUUAAGUCUGAUGUGAAAGCCUUCGGCUUAACCGAAGUAGUGCAUUGGAAACUGGAAGACUUGAGUGCAGAAGAGGAGAGUGGAACUCCAUGUGUAGCGGUGAAAUGCGUAGAUAUAUGGAAGAACACCAGUGGCGAAAGCGGCUCUCUGGUCUGUAACUGACGCUGAGGUUCGAAAGCGUGGGUAGCAAACAGGAUUAGAUACCCUGGUAGUCCACGCCGUAAACGAUGAGUGCUAAGUGUUGGAGGGUUUCCGCCCUUCAGUGCUGCAGCUAACGCAUUAAGCAGCUCCGCCUGGGGAGU
This 879-nucleotide ribosomal RNA is filed under the name uncultured bacterium. RNAcentral's name for it is "bacterial SSU rRNA". It matches the Rfam family "Bacterial small subunit ribosomal RNA", at positions 36 to 881 of the family's 1533-position model. The record is from RNAcentral.